Molecule: ribosomal RNA, 490 nt
Filed under: uncultured bacterium
Lineage: Bacteria
Description: partial 16S ribosomal RNA
Rfam family: Bacterial small subunit ribosomal RNA
Source: RNAcentral
AGUGAACGCUGGCGGUAGGCCUAACACAUGCAAGUCGAACGGCAGCACAGGAGAGCUUGCUCUCUAGGUGGCGAGUGGCGGACGGGUGAGGAAUACAUCGGAAUCUGCCCAGUCGUGGGGGAUAACGUAGGGAAACUUACGCUAAUACCGCAUACGACCUUCGGGUGAAAGAGGGGGAUCGCAAGACCUCUCGCGAUUGGAUGAGCCGAUGUCGGAUUAGCUAGUUAGCGGGGUAAUGGCCCACCAAGGCGACGAUCCGUAGCUGGUCUGAGAGGAUGAUCAGCCACACUGGAACUGAGACACGGUCCAGACUCCUACGGGAGGAAGCAGUGGGGAAUAUUGGAGAAUGGGCGCAAGCCUGAUCCAGCCAUACCGCGUGAGUGAAGAAGGCCUUCGGGUUGUAAAGCCCUUUUGUUGGGAAAGAAAUCUUUCAGGCUAAUACCCUGGGAGGAUGACGGUACCCAAAGAAUAAGCACCGGCUAACUUCGUG